GUGGAUUAGAUACCCUGGUAGUCCACGCCCUAAACGAUGUCGACUAGUUGUUGGGGAAGGUAACUUCCUUAGUAACGUAGCUAACGCGUGAAGUCGACCGCCUGGGGAGUACGGCCGCAAGGUUAAAACUCAAAGGAAUUGACGGGGACCCGCACAAGCGGUGGAUGAUGUGGAUUAAUUCGAUGCAACGCGAAAAACCUUACCUACCCUUGACAUGUCCGGAACCUCGAUGAGAGUUGGGGGUGCCCGAAAGGGAGCCGGAACACAGGUGCUGCAUGGUGGUCGACAGCU
RNAcentral lists this ribosomal RNA (291 nucleotides) under uncultured bacterium. Its description in RNAcentral is "partial 16S ribosomal RNA". It matches the Rfam family "Bacterial small subunit ribosomal RNA", at positions 773 to 1060 of the family's 1533-position model. The record is from RNAcentral.